RNAcentral lists this transfer RNA (72 nucleotides) under Cichlidarus nyanzae. Its description in RNAcentral is "tRNA-Asn". It matches the Rfam family "tRNA". Rfam says of the family: Transfer RNA (tRNA) molecules are approximately 80 nucleotides in length. Their secondary structure includes four short double-helical elements and three loops (D, anti-codon, and T loops). Further hydrogen bonds mediate the characteristic L-shaped molecular structure. tRNAs have two regions of fundamental functional importance: the anti-codon, which is responsible for specific mRNA codon recognition, and the 3' end, to which the tRNAs corresponding amino acid is attached (by aminoacyl-tRNA synthetases). tRNAs cope with the degeneracy of the genetic code in two manners: having more than one tRNA (with a specific anti-codon) for a particular amino acid; and 'wobble' base-pairing, i.e. permitting non-standard base-pairing at the 3rd anti-codon position. Lineage: Eukaryota; Metazoa; Platyhelminthes; Monogenea; Gyrodactylidea; Gyrodactylidae. The record is from RNAcentral.
GGAAGUAUAGUUUAAUCUUUAAAUCGUAAAGCUGUUAACUUUAAGAUGCUAUUUGUUUAUUGGCUGUUUCCU